AGCGGCAUACCAUUAUUUUUUGUUUACAUAAAUAAAUUAAAUAAAUUUUUCAGAAAGGAAAUUGACUUCUUCGUGUACAUACAUUUUCGGUAUUAGUUUUUAAAUAUCAUUGGUUUUCUGUGCUGAAAUAAAAAAUCGGAUCCGGACCAAAUCGUGGAUGAUGCAUGAUAAUAAAAUUUUAAUUGACAUACAUGAUACUAGUAACACCAAAAGGGUCAGUCGUCUUGAGAUUGCUCACUACACGAUAUUUGUUGAAGAUCUCAAAGAAACAGUAAUGUGUUUUAUUUCUUAUUAUGUUAUUAGACUGUUAUCCUGGUAGAAUCAAAUGCACUGACUAAUAUUAAUGGCGUAGAAAUUAGCAUGCGGGAGAAACAGAAAUUGGAGCAUGGAAAUUCCACAUUACGUUUCGUAUUACGGAAAAUGACACACAUUACGUCCCGCAAAAAGUGACGUUUUGCGGGAAUUCAAACGCUUAACGUCGCGCCAAGAGUUAACUCCCUUGAAACUGUAUCGGAUGCCCUUAAG
Molecule: long non-coding RNA, 525 nt
Filed under: Mytilus galloprovincialis (Mediterranean mussel)
Lineage: Eukaryota; Metazoa; Mollusca; Bivalvia; Mytilida; Mytilidae
Source: RNAcentral